AUUAAAGUGACAGAUAAUAUGUGAGGAAUUUAAGCUUCCUUUAUGAUUAAUUUCCUUUAAUA
RNAcentral lists this transfer RNA (62 nucleotides) under Haemaphysalis formosensis. RNAcentral's name for it is "tRNA-Leu". Lineage: Eukaryota; Metazoa; Arthropoda; Arachnida; Ixodida; Ixodidae. The record is from RNAcentral.